GCCUUUGAAGCACUUUAUUCCUACUGUGAAUGCAGCCAUUGCCAUGUUAUACGUAGUUAGUGGUCGGUGUGUGGAUCUGUAGGACCCUUUCCUUAAUCACCUCCCCAGCCCAGUGCCUAACCACAGCACUUCGCUCAUCACUCACUGACAGAACUCAAAGGGGCAGGUCAUGCCCCUCAUUCCUGGAACCCAAGUUCACAGAGCUCAUCAUGGCAGAGUUUGGGCUAAAUCCUUCCAUCCUCUGCAAUGGGUGUUCUAAAGCUCAGCGCAGCCUGGGAUCUGCCCUGCCACAGAAAGGAGGAAAGGGACUUUGCACCACUUCCUGUCCAGAAACAGAUUUGAACCUGAAGUUGUGGCCCAGCAACCUGGAGAACAAGAAAGUCAGCACAGCAAAGAGCAGACUGAAAUACAGUGGCUAGAACUCCGAUAUUCCCUGUACCUGCCACCUCGUUACCCCUGCCCGCCAGCCAAUCAGUUUUGGAUCAAUAAACUUUAUGUCCUGUGCUUUGCCGGACGAAUGAGAGAGAACAGCUAAAGACCGAUCUCUGACCUUGCACAUAAACAGCCUACAGAUUGGACUUGACAGUUAAUAAAGGACAGCCCACA
Molecule: long non-coding RNA, 606 nt
Filed under: Fukomys damarensis (Damara mole-rat)
Lineage: Eukaryota; Metazoa; Chordata; Mammalia; Rodentia; Bathyergidae
Description: lncRNA (ENSFDAG00000023265.1)
Source: RNAcentral